RNAcentral lists this transfer RNA (70 nucleotides) under Schizocardium brasiliense. Its description in RNAcentral is "tRNA-Lys". The record is from RNAcentral. Lineage: Eukaryota; Metazoa; Hemichordata; Enteropneusta; Spengelidae.
CUCCAAUAAGCUUAGAGGAAGCAAUAGACUCUUAAUCUAUCUUGGGUAGACUACCAACUACCAUUGGGGA